AUGGGAACGCGAAGAACCUUACCUAGACUUGACAUCUCCUGAAUAGUGCAGAGAUACAUGAAGCCCUUCGGGGCAGGAAGACAGGUGGUGCAUGGUUGUCGUCAGCUCGUGUCGUGAGAUGUUGGGUUAAGUCCCGCAACGAGCGCAACCCUUAUUACUAGUUGUUACCAUUAAGUUGAGCACUCUAGUGAGACUGCCCGGGUUAACCGGGAGGAAGGCGGGGAUGACGUCAAAUCAUCAUGCCCCUUAUGUCUAGGGCAACACACGUGCUACAAUGGUGAGUACAGAUAGAUGCGACACCGCAAGGUGGAGCCAAACUCUAAAACUCAUCCCAGUUCGGAUUGUAGGCUGCAACUCGCCUACAUGAAGUUGGAGUUGCUAGUAAUCGCGAAUCAGAAUGUCGCGGUGAAUACGUUCCCGGGUCUUGUACACACCG
Molecule: ribosomal RNA, 436 nt
Filed under: uncultured bacterium
Lineage: Bacteria
Description: bacterial SSU rRNA
Rfam family: Bacterial small subunit ribosomal RNA
Source: RNAcentral